Molecule: long non-coding RNA, 362 nt
Organism: Monopterus albus (swamp eel)
Lineage: Eukaryota; Metazoa; Chordata; Actinopteri; Synbranchiformes; Synbranchidae
Exons: 3
Source: RefSeq, a predicted model, not a curated record
UUGUCUCUCUUUCACAUAGCAAGCACUCCCAGAGGAAAGCUACAGCAGUGAGGAUCACAGCGUCUUCUCGAUUGCUGGGAGGUCCUGCAUAGAGGAGGGAAACAGCGUGCAGGUCCUCAGUAUUGUCCUGGAUGAAAAGAAUCAGGACAUAGUGAGAUGUAUGGGUUGGAACCUGCUGCCUCCUCUGAUUCAGAUUUUGCUCAAGAAAGAAGACAAGAACCGUCCUCAUUGCCUGGCCAUUUUCAACCACCUGCUAGAGACCUGCAGACCCAAAGAGCUGCUGAUUGGCCUGUUGGAGCAGCUGGAGCAGGAUGACCCUGACACCAUAGCAGAGAGCCUUCAUCUACUGUUGAACCCUCUAC